UUGAGCGGCGGACGGGUUAGUAACGCGUGGGAAUGUACCCUUCUCUAAGGAAUAGCCUCUGGAAACGGAGAGUAAUACCUUAUACGCCCUUCGGGGGAAAGAUUUAUCGGAGAGGGAUCAGCCCGCGUUAGAUUAGAUAGUUGGUGGGGUAAUGGCCUACCAAGUCUACGAUCUAUAGCUGGUUUUAGAGGAUGAUCAGCAACACUGGGACUGAGACACGGCCCAGACUCCUACGGGAGGCAGCAGUGGGGAAUCUUGGACAAUGGGCGCAAGCCUGAUCCAGCCAUGCCGCGUGAGUGAUGAAGGCCUUAGGGUCGUAAAGCUCUUUCGCCAGGGAUGAUAAUGACAGUACCUGGUAAAGAAACCCCGGCUAACUCCGUGCCAGCAGCCGCGGUAAUACGGAGGGGGUUAGCGUUGUUCGGAAUUACUGGGCGUAAAGCGUACGUAGGCGGGUUGUUAAGUUAGAGGUGAAAUCCCAGGGCUCAACCCUGGAACUGCCUUUAAUACUGGCAACCUAGAGUUCGAGAGAGGUGAGUGGAAUUCCGAGUGUAGAGGUGAAAUUCGUAGAUAUUCGGAGGAACACCAGUGGCGAAGGCGGCUCACUGGCUCGAUACUGACGCUGAGGUACGAAAGUGUGGGGAGCAAACAGGAUUAGAUACCCUGGUAGUCCACACCGUAAACGAUGAAUGCCAGUCGUCGGGUAGCAUGCUAUUCGGUGACACACCUAACGGAUUAAGCAUUC
This 742-nucleotide ribosomal RNA is filed under the name Roseobacter sp. RED1. RNAcentral's name for it is "bacterial SSU rRNA". It matches the Rfam family "Bacterial small subunit ribosomal RNA", at positions 91 to 869 of the family's 1533-position model. The record is from RNAcentral. Lineage: Bacteria; Pseudomonadati; Pseudomonadota; Alphaproteobacteria; Rhodobacterales; Roseobacteraceae.